UACGUAGGGGGCGAGCGUUGUCCGGAUUUACUGGGCGUAAAGGGUGAGUAGGCGGUUAUAUGUGUCAGAUGUAAAAGGCGUGGGCUUAACCUACGUUAGCAUUUGAAACUGUAUGACUUGAGUGCAGGAGAGGUAAGUGGAAUUCCUAGUGUAGCGGUGAAAUGCGUAGAUAUUAGGAGGAACACCAGUGGCGAAGGCGACUUACUGGACUGUAACUGACGCUGAGUCACGAAAGCGUGGGUAGCAAACAGG
Molecule: ribosomal RNA, 252 nt
Filed under: uncultured bacterium
Lineage: Bacteria
Description: partial 16S ribosomal RNA
Rfam family: Bacterial small subunit ribosomal RNA
Source: RNAcentral